Long non-coding RNA from Bubalus bubalis (water buffalo), 1066 nucleotides. RefSeq lists it as uncharacterized. The record is from RefSeq and is a predicted model, not a curated record. The transcript is spliced from 2 exons. NCBI's taxonomy places the organism in Eukaryota, Metazoa, Chordata, Mammalia, Artiodactyla, Bovidae.
UCAAAGGCAACAGUUGCAUAAACCCAGAGGCAUGAGAUGGUACAGCAAAUCCCUGGAUGCAAAAAAAAAUCCUUCACAAAUGUAGCACAGAAUAUGGGAGAUGAGAUAGGAAGGAGAUGAGGCAGUCCUUCACUUUGGAAUACUUAAUAGAAAUACCCAAAUACCUAACAGCCAAAAGAGUGACUCUCUCCUUGAGUUUAUUGUUUUUCUUUGAGUUGAACUUCAGUCAUUGAUGCAGUGUGUAUGCUCAGCCGUGUCCGACUCUUCAUGGCUCCGUGAACUGUAGCACACCAAACUGACUCCUCUCUGUCUACGGAAUUUUUCCAGACUGCCCUGUACAAUGGCACUUUGUGAGCAAGAGAGCCCUGCGCAGGGGCUGCCAGCCCGGGGCCCUCCGCUGCCAACGGGAAGGCUCAGAGCGGGCCCAGCGUUGCUGUUGGACGUCAUUCAGGAGCCCCUACUCGGUGGGGGGAGCCCAGAGAGGAAAACAAACAGAGCGAGGAGUAGUGGAAAACGCUGAGUCCUGGAGCUGGCCGGAACAACGUCCGCCUUUCCAAGCCCGGAGCCAGCGCUCUGCCCACCUGCAGCUGCGGCAGCGAGCUGGCUGUGCCAGGCAGGGGGCCUUGGCACCAGAACCUUCCCUUCCGAGGCCUGGGAGGGCGGAGCAGACACUCCGGGCUCUGCAGACAGACCCUUCAGAGACUUUACCCUGAACGUCCAAGACCUCUCCUUGUCCCAUGAAUCCAGGGGGGAAAAUGGUUCUCCCAGGAGGGAAAGAAAAGAUUUCUUGAGCUGUAGCUUCUCAUUUAUUACUAGCUCUUGUGGCUCAGUGGUAAAUAAUCUGCCUGCCAAGCAGGACACUUGGGUUCAAUCCCUGGAGAAGGAGAUGGCAACCCACUCCAGUAUUCUUGCCUGGAGAAUUCCAUAGACAGAGGAGCCUGGCAGGCUACAGUCCAUGGGGUCACAAAAAAGUUGGACACGACUUAGCAACUAAACAAACAAAAAACCCUUACAAAUCACUUACUGUGUGUCAAGUUUCAAGAUAUAUUAAACAACAAACACUACA